UACGUAGGGGGCAAGCGUUGUCCGGAUUUAUUGGGCGUAAAGAGCGUGUAGGCGGCCCGAUUAGUCCGCUGUGAAAGUCCAGGGCUCAACCCUGGAAUGCCGGUGGAUACUGUCGGGCUAGAGUGCGGUAGGGGAGAUUGGAAUUCCUGGUGUAGCGGUGGAAUGCGCAGAUAUCAGGAGGAACACCGAUGGCGAAGGCAGAUCUCUGGGCCGUAACUGACGCUGAGGAGCGAAAGCAUGGGGAGCGAACAGG
Molecule: ribosomal RNA, 253 nt
Filed under: uncultured bacterium
Lineage: Bacteria
Description: partial 16S ribosomal RNA
Rfam family: Bacterial small subunit ribosomal RNA
Source: RNAcentral